AUGGGGUGCAGCAGGCGAGAAAACUUUGCAAUGUGCGAAAGCACGACAAGGUUAAUCCGAGUGGUUUCUGCUAAAGGAACCUUUUGACAGUCCUAAAAACACUGUUGAAUAAGGGGUGGGCAAGUUCUGGUGUCAGCCGCCGCGGUAAAACCAGCACCUCAAGUGGUCAGGAUGAUUAUUGGGCCUAAAGCAUCCGUAGCCGGCUCUGUAAGUUUUCGGUUAAAUCUGUACGCUCAACGUACAGACUGCUGGGAAUACUGCAGAGCUAGGGAGUGGGAGAGGUAGACGGUACUCGGGAGGAAGUGGUAAAAUGCUUUGAUCUCUCGAUGACCACCUGUGGCGAAGGCGGUCUACCAGAACACGUCCGACGGUGAGGGAUGAAAGCUGGGGGAGCAAACCGGAUUAGAUACCCGGGUAGUCCCAGCUGUAAACUAUGCAAACUCAGUGAUGCAUUGGCUUGUGGCCAGUGCAGUGCCGCAGAGAAGUCGUUAAGUUUGCCGCCUGGGAAGUACGUACGCAAGUAUGAAACUUAAAGGAAUUGGCGGGGGAGCAC
This 553-nucleotide ribosomal RNA is filed under the name uncultured archaeon. Its description in RNAcentral is "bacterial SSU rRNA". It matches the Rfam family "Archaeal small subunit ribosomal RNA", at positions 325 to 879 of the family's 1478-position model. The record is from RNAcentral.